Molecule: ribosomal RNA, 614 nt
Filed under: Escherichia coli
Lineage: Bacteria; Pseudomonadati; Pseudomonadota; Gammaproteobacteria; Enterobacterales; Enterobacteriaceae
Description: partial 23S ribosomal RNA
Rfam family: Bacterial large subunit ribosomal RNA
Source: RNAcentral
CUUUUGUAUAAUGGGUCAGCGACUUAUAUUCUGUAGCAAGGUUAACCGAAUAGGGGAGCCGAAGGGAAACCGAGUCUUAACUGGGCGUUAAGUUGCAGGGUAUAGACCCGAAACCCGGUGAUCUAGCCAUGGGCAGGUUGAAGGUUGGGUAACACUAACUGGAGGACCGAACCGACUAAUGUUGAAAAAUUAGCGGAUGACUUGUGGCUGGGGGUGAAAGGCCAAUCAAACCGGGAGAUAGCUGGUUCUCCCCGAAAGCUAUUUAGGUAGCGCCUCGUGAAUUCAUCUCCGGGGGUAGAGCACUGUUUCGGCAAGGGGGUCAUCCCGACUUACCAACCCGAUGCAAACUGCGAAUACCGGAGAAUGUUAUCACGGGAGACACACGGCGGGUGCUAACGUCCGUCGUGAAGAGGGAAACAACCCAGACCGCCAGCUAAGGUCCCAAAGUCAUGGUUAAGUGGGAAACGAUGUGGGAAGGCCCAGACAGCCAGGAUGUUGGCUUAGAAGCAGCCAUCAUUUAAAGAAAGCGUAAUAGCUCACUGGUCGAGUCGGCCUGCGCGGAAGAUGUAACGGGGCUAAACCAUGCACCGAAGCUGCGGCAGCGACGCUGAUGC